RNAcentral lists this ribosomal RNA (253 nucleotides) under uncultured bacterium. Its description in RNAcentral is "partial 16S ribosomal RNA". It matches the Rfam family "Bacterial small subunit ribosomal RNA", at positions 524 to 776 of the family's 1533-position model. The record is from RNAcentral.
UACAGAGGUCCCAAGCGUUGUUCGGAUUCACUGGGCGUAAAGGGUGCGUAGGUGGCGAGGUAAGUCGGAUGUGAAAGCUCGGAGCUCAACUCCGAAAUGGCAUUGGAAACUACCUUGCUCGAGGGUUGGAGGGGGGACUGGAAUGCUUGGUGUAGCAGUGAAAUGCGUAGAUAUCAAGCGGAACACCAGUGGCGAAGGCGAGUCCCUGGACGACUCCUGACACUGAGGCACGAAAGCGUGGGGAGCAAACAGG